UGAGGAAUAUUGCGCAAUGCCCGAAAGGGUGACGCAGCGACGCCGCGUGAAGGAUGAAGGCCCUCUGGGUCGUAAACUUCUUUGGUAGGGGAAUAACAGGUCGCUACAGGCGGCCGUGAAUGUACCCUAAGAACAAGCAUCGGCUAACUACGUGCCAGCAGCCGCGGUAAUACGUAGGAUGCGAGCGUUGUCCGGAUUUACUGGGUGUAAAGGGAGCGCAGGCGGAUCGGUAAGUCGGUGGUGAAAUCCUCAGGCUCAACCUGGGAACUGCCACCGAAACUGCUGGUCUUGAGUGUGGAAGAGGUCGAUGGAAUUCCUGGUGUAGCAGUGAAAUGCGUAGAUAUCAGGAAGAACACCGAUGGCGAAGGCAGUCGACUGGUCCACUACUGACGCUCAUGCUCGAAAGCGUGGGGAUCAAACAGG
RNAcentral lists this ribosomal RNA (423 nucleotides) under uncultured Chlorobiota bacterium. RNAcentral's name for it is "bacterial SSU rRNA". It matches the Rfam family "Bacterial small subunit ribosomal RNA", at positions 355 to 776 of the family's 1533-position model. The record is from RNAcentral. Lineage: Bacteria; Pseudomonadati; Chlorobiota.